GUGGGGAAUAUUGGACAAUGGGCGAAAGCCUGAUCCAGCCAUGCCGCGUGUGUGAAGAAGGUCUUCGGAUUGUAAAGCACUUUAAGUUGGGAGGAAGGGCAGUAAGUUAAUACCUUGCUGUUUUGACGUUACCGACAGAAUAAGCACCGGCUAACUUCGUGCCAGCAGCCGCGGUAAUACGAAGGGUGCAAGCGUUAAUCGGAAUUACUGGGCGUAAAGCGCGCGUAGGUGGUUUUGUAAGUUGGAGGUGAAAUCACCGGGCUCAACCUGGGAACUACCUCCAAAACUGAAUGACUAGAGUACGGUAGAGGGUAGUGGAAUUUCCUGUGUAGCGGUGAAAUGCGUAGAUAUAGGAAGGAACACCAGUGGCGAAGGCGACUACCUGGACUGAUACUGACACUGAGGUGCGAAAGCGUGGGGAGCAAACAGGAUUAGAAACCCGUGUAGUCC
RNAcentral lists this ribosomal RNA (450 nucleotides) under uncultured bacterium. RNAcentral's name for it is "bacterial SSU rRNA". It matches the Rfam family "Bacterial small subunit ribosomal RNA", at positions 354 to 796 of the family's 1533-position model. The record is from RNAcentral.